RNAcentral lists this unclassified non-coding RNA (287 nucleotides) under uncultured fungus. RNAcentral describes it as "partial contains 5.8S ribosomal RNA, internal transcribed spacer 2, and large subunit ribosomal RNA". The record is from RNAcentral. Lineage: Eukaryota; Fungi.
AACGCACAUUGCGCCUCUCGGUAUUCCGGGAGGCACGCCUGUCCGAGCGCCAUUACACACUCCAAGCUGAGCUUGAUGUUGGACGAUGUCUGAGGGGGAGGAAUCGAGAAGAUUGUCUCUGAUGACACGUCUGGAACUUGUGGGCGCCGACCUGCCGGACCACGAACGUAGCAAGACGCGAGUCAUUCGUUCGCAUCUGGGACGUGAGGUGAGGUGGCCAACCAUUCUUUCCUUCGGUGAAGGAAGAGUUUGGCCUCGGAUCAGGCGGGGAUACCCGCUGAACUUAA